UGUGGUUUAAUUCGAAGCAACGCGAAGAACCUUACCAGGUCUUGACAUCCCGAUGCUAUUUCUAGAGAUAGAAAGUUACUUCGGUACAUCGGUGACAGGUGGUGCAUGGUUGUCGUCAGCUCGUGUCGUGAGAUGUUGGGUUAAGUCCCGCAACGAGCGCAACCCCUAUUGUUAGUUGCCAUCAUUCAGUUGGGCACUCUAGCGAGACUGCCGGUAAUAAACCGGAGGAAGGUGGGGAUGACGUCAAAUCAUCAUGCCCCUUAUGACCUGGGCUACACACGUGCUACAAUGGUUGGUACAACGAGUUGCGAGUCGGUGACGGCGAGCUAAUCUCUUAAAGCCAAUCUCAGUUCGGAUUGUAGGCUGCAACUCGCCUACAUGAAGUCGGAAUCGCUAGUAAUCGCGGAUCAGCACGCCGCGGUGAAUACGUUCCCGGGCCUU
This 441-nucleotide ribosomal RNA is filed under the name uncultured Streptococcus sp. RNAcentral describes it as "bacterial SSU rRNA". It matches the Rfam family "Bacterial small subunit ribosomal RNA", at positions 940 to 1382 of the family's 1533-position model. Lineage: Bacteria; Bacillati; Bacillota; Bacilli; Lactobacillales; Streptococcaceae. The record is from RNAcentral.